GCAAAUGACUAAGAAGAAAAUGGUUUUGGAGCAUCUAGUUGUUGGAAGGCUUAAAGCACAAAAUAUCAACCAGGAAGAACUGGAUGAUAUUAUAAGGUAUGGGUCAAAAGAGUUAUUUGCUGAUGAGAAUGAUGAGGCUGGAAAAUUGCGUCAAAUACAUUACGAUGAUGCUGCAAUAGAUAGAUUGCUCAAUCGCGAUCAAGUUGUAGAUGAGGAUGCUGCCAUGGACGAUGAAGAAGAGGAUUCAUUUUUGAAGGCCUUCAAGGUAGCUAAUUUUGAGUAUAUAGAAGAAGCAGAAGCAACACCAGAG
This 310-nucleotide unclassified non-coding RNA is filed under the name Hevea brasiliensis (rubber tree). Lineage: Eukaryota; Viridiplantae; Streptophyta; Magnoliopsida; Malpighiales; Euphorbiaceae. The record is from RNAcentral.